CGCGGCCUAUCAGCUUGUUGGUGGGGUGAUGGCCUACCAAGGCGACGACGGGUAGCCGGCCUGAGAGGGCGACCGGCCACACUGGGACUGAGACACGGCCCAGACUCCUACGGGAGGCAUCAGUGGGGAAUAUUGCGCAAUGGGCGGAAGCCUGACGCAGCGACGCCGCGUGGGGGAUGACGGCCUUCGGGUUGUAAACCUCUUUCGCCAGGGACGAAGCGCAAGUGACGGUACCUGGAUAAGAAGCACCGGCCAACUACGUGCCAGCAGCCGCGGUAAUACGUAGGGUGCGAGCGUUGUCCGGAAUUAUUGGGCGUAAAGAGCUCGUAGGCGGUCUGUCGCGUCGGUCGUGAAAACUUGGGGCUUAACCCUGAGCUUGCGGUCGAUACGGGCAUGACUGGAGUUCGGCAGGGGAGACUGGAAUUCCUGGUGUAGCGGUGAAAUGCGCAGAUAUCAGGAGGAACACCGGUGGCGAAGGCGGGUCUCUGGGCCGAUACUGACGCUGAGGAGCGAAAGCGUGGGGAGCGAACAGGAUUAGAUACCCUGGUAGUCCACGCCGUAAACGGUGGGCGCUAGGUGUGGGGGCCAUUCCACGGUCUCUGUGCCGCAGCUAACGCAUUAAGCGCCCCGCCUGGGGAGUACGG
Molecule: ribosomal RNA, 644 nt
Filed under: uncultured bacterium
Lineage: Bacteria
Description: bacterial SSU rRNA
Rfam family: Bacterial small subunit ribosomal RNA
Source: RNAcentral